AGAACGAACGCUGGCGGCAUGCCUAAUACAUGCAAGUCGAACGAACACUUCGGUGUUAGUGGCGCACGGGUGCGUAACGCGUGGGAAUCUGCCCUUGGGUUCGGAAUAACAGUUGGAAACGACUGCUAAUACCGGAUGAUAUCGAAAGAUCAAAGAUUUAUCGCCCAGGGAUGAGCCCGCGUAGGAUUAGCUAGUUGGUGAGGUAAAGGCUCACCAAGGCGACGAUCCUUAGCUGGUCUGAGAGGAUGAUCAGCCACACUGGGACUGAGACACGGCCCAGACUCCUAACGGG
This 292-nucleotide ribosomal RNA is filed under the name uncultured soil bacterium. RNAcentral's name for it is "partial 16S ribosomal RNA". It matches the Rfam family "Bacterial small subunit ribosomal RNA", at positions 26 to 346 of the family's 1533-position model. The record is from RNAcentral.